Molecule: long non-coding RNA, 570 nt
Organism: Ornithodoros turicata
Lineage: Eukaryota; Metazoa; Arthropoda; Arachnida; Ixodida; Argasidae
Exons: 5
Source: RefSeq, a predicted model, not a curated record
CGUACCUCAUACAGUUCGUAACAUCUGGAAGAGCACGUUUACAAGAAGGCGGCGCUACUGAAAUCUUUGCAGCUUGCAGAGUUAGAACACGUUAACAUUCAACAAUGAUCACGGUAACGCUGCCGGUAGUCCUCCUUUGCAUUGCUGCUUCGUCAACAAUAAACGACCGUUAACGACCACGAAGAGUCAUGACCAUGCUACGGGCCAUCCUCCUCGGCAUCGCUGUUUUCUCUACAAUAUGUGCCCAGCAGUACGCGGGGUUCCUGCUACCUGCGGUGGGGCGCCCGAAAUACAAACCACCUGUCGGGCAUCCAUAUGGAGAAAAAGGGCUGGGUCGCUUCCAGGCUCCAAGAAACCCUAUUCCAUUUCACCCACCAGUUCGAUGCGACUUCGAUUAUGACGCGGACGCACAUGGAUAUUGCGACGCCAUCUGUCGUGCCCAUUACUACAGUGCAGGCCACUGCAAUGGAGACAUAUGCCAAUGUUAGUAAAUAUAGAAGUCACACGUUUUGUACUCAUGUAGAUAUUCUCUUGAAUAAAAUGCUCUUCAGUAAGUGUCACUGUACACGA